CCUACGGGCGGCAGCAGUGAGGAAUAUUGGUCAAUGGACGAGAGUCUGAACCAGCCAAGUAGCGUGAAGGAUGACUGCCCUAUGGGUUGUAAACUUCUUUUAUAUGGGAAUAAAACGUUCCACGUGUGGGAUUUUGUAUGUACCAUAUGAAUAAGGAUCGGCUAACUCCGUGCCAGCAGCCGCGGUAAUACGGAGGAACCGAGCGUUAUCCGGAUUUAUUGGGUUUAAAGGGAGCGUAGGUGGAUUGUUAAGUCAGUUGUGAAAGUUUGCGGCUCAACCGUAAAACUGCAGUUGAAACUGGCAGUCUUGAGUACAGUAGAGGUGGGCGGAAUUCGUGGUGUAGCGGUGAAAUGCUUAGAUAUCACGAAGAACUCCGAUUGCGAAGGCAGUUCACUGGACUGCAACUGACACUGAGGCUCGAAAGUGUGGGUAUCAAACAGGAUUAGAUACCCGAGUAGUC
RNAcentral lists this ribosomal RNA (460 nucleotides) under uncultured bacterium. RNAcentral's name for it is "partial 16S ribosomal RNA". It matches the Rfam family "Bacterial small subunit ribosomal RNA", at positions 338 to 795 of the family's 1533-position model. The record is from RNAcentral.